Cercocebus atys (sooty mangabey) is the source of this 4224-nucleotide long non-coding RNA. RefSeq lists it as uncharacterized. Lineage: Eukaryota; Metazoa; Chordata; Mammalia; Primates; Cercopithecidae. The transcript is spliced from 2 exons. The record is from RefSeq and is a predicted model, not a curated record.
UCUUGUUAAAUGCUGGGGCCAAGAACUCUGAUCACGCUGGCAGAGAAGGGCACUGGCAAAGAAUCCAGACGUUUGAAGAGGCCACGUGCACAGACACAGGUAGCAGCGCAGACUCAGAUUCAUCUCCAGAAUAUACCUUCUGGGAGGAGCCCUGCCUCUGUUUGGGAGAUGCCUGGGGGCAUCCAUGGAUCAGAUCUACUGGGGUCAUGGUGUCUGGCUGGGAUGGCCUUGGAAAGACAUUUUAGAGUCUCAUGUUGAAAGGGGGAGGGCAUUGUGGAACCUUCUGGGCAGUUUUCUCAGUCUGCUGCCUUAGAUUUGGGUAUCAUGUUCUGAAAUGACUGGGAUGGUCAGGAAAGCUCUCUGAGGAGGUGACAUUCUGGCUGAGGCCUGGAUGGAGAUGUGUGAGGAGAAUAUUUCAGACAAAGGGGCCUGGGGUCCUGUCAGAGUUCAGGCUCUGGGAGAAGCUGCCAUGGGCAUUUUGUGGCCUCUGAUGAUCGCUGUGAGUGCCCUUCCUACAUGCACACGUCCCUCAUGCUGCCUUGCACAGUUCCAAGGUGGAAACCAGACUCCAUUUCCCAGCAUCCCUUGCAGUCAGGCCCUUCAUGUGACUUGAAUCCCAUCAUGUGACCCAGGCUCAACCAAUCAGAAGUCUCCUUUGAGCCUCUGCUCAGGAAGAGGGCGUAAAGAAGAUGGCACUGGGCGGAUCCCUGUGUGGGCGCUGGGCCUGGAAGGGCCUCGUGGAUUCAGGGGGAGUGGGAAGGAAGUUCAUGUCCCCUCCUGGGGCCAUCAGGGCGAGCUGUGGGGUCUGGUUGAAUGGCUUUUUUCAGAGCAGCCCCUGGUGUGGGCUGGACACUCGUAGCCACUGAGUCUCUGCCCCCACAAAGGGUUGGGACCUUCCUGAUGUCCACACUGGCCCCAAGGAAUCUGCUUCCCCUGGGUCUUGUUGGAAAUGCACCAUCUCAUACCCCAGCCCAGACCUUCGAGUCGGGGCCUGCAUUUUAUCAAGACCCCUGGGGAUUUGUGUGUAAUGGGAGUUGGAGAAGUGUGAUCUGUAACGAGCUCCUCCUGCUUAAUGCAGCUGGAGGGUGGGCUUCUGUGGUUACAGCAAAGAACCAGGUGGUACAGAAGCCAUGGGAGGGAUGUGACCAGGGAGUGAGAUGAUCGGGUUCAUCCUUUAUCCAUCCUGCUGCUGGACUACAGAGGGGCGAGACAGGAGGCCAGCGUAUAUCCAGAGAAUACACAUCUCUGACCAGACAAACACGCAAAACCUGUGAAAAGACCCAGACACACACACCUGCAGGUGAAACUGAGACACACACGCACACACACAAACCCAGAAGCAACCAUCUACACAGGCGCACAGAACCACAAAGACACAAGCAGGGCUGGGGCGACUUCACCCCAGAACAUCUCCUUUCUUGUUUCCCUGGAUCUGCAGGAAGGAGCCGAGCCUGCCUGACUUUGGUCCCUCGCUCACCACUAGACCUUGAAAGUGAAAUUGGAUAUCCACAAGCCCGUGACCUUGGGGUUCUGGAGAAUGGGUCCUUAAUGAGUGUCCCGGCUCCAGGCCAGAUGAAAUGCAGGCGUUCCAGCCUCUGUCCGGGUGGGUCCCUCAGCCCACUUGCUGAGGGCCGCAGAUGGAUGUGGAUCAAAUGCUAAUGGCUUUUCAGCUGGGGCUGCUAGAGCCCAGUGCAGGACCAUGGGCAGUGUGUUUGCUGGGGGCACUUUCGCCCUCCACAGGGCAUCUCAGGCUACCUGCUGAGACCCAGGUUGGCACAAUGUGAUAUGUGCCAUUUUUGCAGCAGCAGGGGACUGGGCACAGAGACAGGGGACAUCAGCCUGUGCCCAUGAUCCAGCUGUAAACACAGAUUUAUACCCAGGCCAAAUCUAUCCACGAAUCCAUUUCAAAAGGAAUACAAUCGCAUUAGAGGGAUAGUAAUUGUGUAAUAUAUUGCACUUGAAAUUAGAAUUCUACAAAAUUUCAUUAUUUAUGUCUAGACUAAAAGAGAUUGAGUUUUGAUUAUUUAACUACAUUUCCUGUUGCUCUGAUGAGGAAUGAUGCUUCUCUAAGGGCCGACUGUCUCAUUCCUGAAGAGUGGUGUUUUCAGAGCAGCACCAUGAGGGGCUUCUGGAAGUCUCUGGGACUCAGGGUUGGUCUGGAGGGACAUGGGGGCUGCCCUGGGCCUGCUUGUCCUCAGGCCGCUUCAUCCCCCUUCCCACGAGUCUCUGGGCUCACCCCCCUGGGUCACAUUUCCCAGACUCUGACAGGGCUGGUCUCUGCCUGAAGUAGCAGUUGGGGGCUGUGCUGGAGAGUGGGGGCAGGAGGACCCAGGGUGUCCCCCUCUGCCUGGGCCGCAUCUGCAGUGCCCAUGUCUCCACCAUGGCGCCAGUCCCCUCCGUGGCCCUGAGCUGAAGACUGAACCCUCUCUCUUGGCUCCUCUACCCCAGGGUCAAUGACAGGUUGUCACUGAUCUUUGCCUCACAGGCCCUUGUUUGCCUUCUCAGCUUUCCAUGCAGAUCCCUGUAUUGUCUCUUCCUUGCUGAAGCACCUGCAGUGACCCCCCUUUCCUUGGUUGGAGCCUGGUGCAGAUGUGCCCCUCAACAGGACACUCAGGUCUCUACCCCAGCCCAUUUCAUCCUCCUCUCAUCCUCACACACCCUCUGCCCUGGUACCCAGACUUCCUUCUGUCCUCCACACCAGCCCCAGCGCCUUUGCUCUUGCUGCCUGCUUGUCUGGAGUCCCCACUAUAAACUCAGCCCCUCUGUGAAGUCCCUGCUUAUGUGUGACCUGUGGAAGUCACCAUUCCUAAGCCUCCCACCUGCAGAUGGGAUCUGCUGGGACAUUCCAGAGCCCUUGUCUGUCCCCUUGUGGGUGCUUAGAAAGAGUGCAUCCUGGGGUGGUCACCCACAUUCGCUUUCAUUCUUUAUGUAUCAAUUAUUCACCAAGUAUUCACUGAUGCUGACUAUGUGUUAACCACUGUGAUACAGCAGGAUAAUCAGGACUCUUUCCAUUGUAGGUGACCCAAAGCCAAACUCAAAUUGGCUUGAGUAAGAAGGAAAGUUUUCUGACAUAUAACUAUUCAUAGCAAUGUCAACUUCAGGCAUGGCUGGAUCUAGCAGAUCAACUGAGGUCUCCGAAGGCUAUCUCUUUAUACCUCUUGGCUCUGCUUUUCUUCACGUUGGUGAUGGAGCUACAACAAUGUAAUGAGAAUUUAUUUUCAGUUCAAAGUGGCAGAAAUCUCUAGAAUUGGCUUAAACACCUAAUCGCUUAUUGAUGUAAAAAACUACCCGGGGUAGUUUAUCUUCACGCAUGACUGGAUCCAGGAGAUCUCCAGAAUUCUCUCUUGUUGCCUCUUACUGUGCUUCCUCUGUAUUAGCUGCAUCCUCAGACAGAAUCCCUCACUGUGGUGUCAAAAUAUCUUCUAGAGGUCGUGAGUCUUGCAUCUCAGCCCCUCAGGAACCCUGCUGGAAGGGGAAGUUCUUGAUUUCUCCAGUCCUUUAAAACAAGAGUUGCAAAAUUUAGUUUCCUUGUCUCCUGAAGGUCUGGUUUGGGUCACACAUCCAUCUGUGUUCCUAUAAUUGUGGCCAGGGGAAUGCAGGGGUUUGAUUGUCUGUGCCUGACACACAGGCCCAAUGAACCAACCGUAAGUUUCCAGCAAGUGAAGUAUAUAUGUGUAAGCAAUGAAAGAUUACAUAUAUUCUAUUCAAAGUUUGAUUUUGAGAAAAAUUGUAGAUUCAUGUGCUGUUGUAAGAAGUAAUACAGGACCUUUUGCAACUGUUACCUAGUUUCCCCAGUGGUAACUUCUGGCAAAAUGAUGGCCCAAUAUCACAGCCAGAGCAUCCCCAGUGAGGUCUUGUCAGGUGGAAAAAUGGUGGCCAUCCCAGCCAAAAUGUCAGAGAUAGUUCUUGGUUGUGUUGUCAGAUGCGCCAUAGGCUUCUGUGCAUGCAUCAGUGUGUUUGCAAGAACACCGCACAGGGUAGCAGAUGUUCGCCACAGAGGCCACAGGCUACAGGGGUUUCGUGACGUGUGGUUAGACUGGAGGAGGCACUCAGAGCCUCGUGAGUUAUGCGUUAGCUUUAGAGGAGAAAAUGUUCUUACACUGGUGUGCAACUAGAGAUUAGUUUCCCAAGAUGGUGGACUAGGAAUGUGUUCAUGCAUCUCUGUGUAGUUAAAAUUGAUUUUUAAAAAUAGAAAAAAAAAAACGUAGUGUCCAUUUCCCUGAA